CAUGCGAAAUUAAAUGUAUCACUGUGAAACCUGUUUAAAAACAUACGUUGCAUCCUCUUCACAUUGACGUUGCUUCGUGUAGGGUUUGACGGCCGAGUCGAGUGUUCUAAUCACAACACCGUGUGGCAUGCUCGGGCACAGCAAUUUUUUGUGUCUCAAAAGAAUAUCACAGCACUGUGUCUCAAGUGCGGUACAGUGCCGUUUGAAUGGAAAACGGCUAACGCUGGCAGCAAGUUUUGGAAUACGGCCGUAGAGGAGUUCUUGGCGAACAUAACCUAUAAUCCAUGUUGUGAGUGUGACAAAACACCAACCGAAGAAAUGUUUAGAGGACAAAUACUGAAGGAUAAAACGUCUCCAGAGAAAAGCAGACAGAGAAUUACGAAAAAUAAAGUAUAUUGCGACAUGCGAGUCAAAUCCGCAGUAAUCGAAUUACAAGAAAUGUUUCACAUACACGGAUGGGAUUGAGUUAGCCGAAAAUGUGAAGACAAUUAACUUCACAGUUAAUUUUUUGAUGCGUGAAAACGACGAUUUGAAAAGACAAUUCAAGAGUCAUCGUCUCGAAGCUAACAUUUUCGACGAAGAGCUGUAAAAUCAAUUAAAUGAACACAAUCAAUCACGGGAAUUAACUAAAGCACCAGACAACACGGAAAAUUGUCUAGUCAAUCGAUAAGGCGACGCGGAGCUCAUUCUCAUAAAGCAUCUUGCCUAUGCUUAUGCCUUGAUCAAAGAAUUACAAUUGGUUCAAGAUAGAGGAUCGACGAAAACAGAUUCCACGAGUAAAGAUGAAGCUGUGAGUUUUGUAUUUGACAAAUUAUUUUUCAUCAUUAAAUAAAAUGGUGAACAUGAGUAAUUUGCAUAUUUGCUAAAUAAAUAUUUUCUCUAUAAUAAA
Molecule: unclassified non-coding RNA, 889 nt
Filed under: Venturia canescens
Lineage: Eukaryota; Metazoa; Arthropoda; Insecta; Hymenoptera; Ichneumonidae
Description: uncharacterized LOC122414918, transcript variant X2
Source: RNAcentral